This 481-nucleotide ribosomal RNA is filed under the name uncultured bacterium. RNAcentral's name for it is "bacterial SSU rRNA". It matches the Rfam family "Bacterial small subunit ribosomal RNA", at positions 30 to 507 of the family's 1533-position model. The record is from RNAcentral.
AUUGAACGCUGGCGGUAUGCUUAACACAUGCAAGUCGAACGGUAGCAGCUCUUCGGAGGCUGACGAGUGGCGGACGGGUGAGUAACGCGUAGGAAUCUGCCUGUUAGUGGGGGACAACUUAGGGAACUUAAGCUAAUACCGCAUACGCCUACGGGGGAAAGGAGGGGAUCUUCGGACCUUUCGCUAACAGAUGAGCCUGCGUAGGAUUAGCUAGUUGGUAGGGUAAAAGCCUACCAAGGCGACGAUCUGUAGCUGGUCUGAGAGGACGACCAGCCACACUGGGACUGAGACACGGCCCAGACUCCUACGGGAGGCAGCAGUGGGGAAUUUUGGACAAUGGACGAAAGUCUGAUCCAGCCAUGCCGCGUGCGGGAAGAAGGCCUUCGGGUUGUAAACCGCUUUUUGUCAGGGAAGAAAUCCUUUGAGCUAAUACCUCGGGGGGAUGACGGUACCUGAAGAAUAAGCACCGGCUAACUACGUG